RNAcentral lists this small RNA (125 nucleotides) under Marmota monax (woodchuck). The record is from RNAcentral. Lineage: Eukaryota; Metazoa; Chordata; Mammalia; Rodentia; Sciuridae.
GCCGGGCAUGGUGGUGCAUGCCUGUAAUCCCAGUUGGUAGGGAGGCUGAGACAGUAUGAUCACAAGUUCAAAGCCAGCCUCAGCAACAGCAAGGCACUAAGCAACUCAGUGAGACCCUGCCUCUA